Molecule: long non-coding RNA, 572 nt
Organism: Dicentrarchus labrax (European seabass)
Lineage: Eukaryota; Metazoa; Chordata; Actinopteri; Moronidae
Exons: 3
Source: RefSeq, a predicted model, not a curated record
UACAGACUGUUUGAACUGUUCGUUAGAGGUGCGUUUGUUUUGUGUCUACAGACUGUUUGAACUGUUCGUUAGAGGUGCGUUUGUUUUGUGUCUACAGACUGUUUGAACUGUUCGUUAGAGGUGCGUUUGUUUUGUGUCUACAGACUGUUUGAACUGUUCGUUAGAGGUGCGUUUGUUUUGUGUCUACAGACUGUUUACACUGUUCGUUAGAGGUGCGUUUGUUUUGUGUCUACAGACUGUUUGAACUGUUCGUUAGAGGUGCGUUUGUUUUGUGUCUACAGACUGUUUGAACUGUUCGUUAGAGGUGCGUUUGUUUUGUGUCUACAGACUGUUUGAACUGUUCGUUAGAGGUGAGUUUGUUUUGUGUCUACAGACUGUUUAAACUGUUCGUUAGAGGUGCGUUUGUUUUGUGUCUACAGACUGUUUACACUGUUCGUUAGAGGUGCGUUUGUUUUGUGUCUACAGACUGUUUACACUGUUCGUUAGAGGUGCGUUUGUUUUGUGUCUACAGACUGUUUGAACUGUUCGUUAGAGGUGCGUUUGUUUUGUGUCUACAGACUGUUUACACUGUU